GGGGGGAUGGCACAGUUGGAAGGAGCUAUAUAUGGCAAGUCUUCUGUGUAGCUAUAGAGGUCGUCGGUUCUAACCCGGCUCCCCUCA
Non-coding RNA from Parachaetomium inaequale, 87 nucleotides. The record is from the annotation of a GenBank genome assembly. Lineage: Eukaryota; Fungi; Ascomycota; Sordariomycetes; Sordariales; Chaetomiaceae.